UUCUUGAAUUUUCCAUUGUCGUUGCCAUCAUCAUCUUCUUUGGCUUUGCCCUUGUCUUUUGCUUCAGAAGGUUCUGGCAGAUCUUUCAUGACUCUGCGAAGGCUAUAGCAGUCCAUGGCAGAGUUCUUGGAUUGUGGGUGCCACGGGCACUACUUUUUUAGGAGCUCCUUGAACGGAGUCCUUUCUUGAUUUCCACCGCUUUUCUUUGAGGACUAGGACAUCGUCGCGAUAGUAUUGUCUAGCUUCCUCUUGCGAUUUUGACCACUCGGUAGUUGCCUCGGUUGUCAUUGAGAUGAUCGUUGCGGUUCUUAUUGUUGCAAUGGCCAUUACUUUAGCUGUUGUUGUUGUUCUG
RNAcentral lists this long non-coding RNA (352 nucleotides) under Setaria viridis. Its description in RNAcentral is "long non-coding RNA (SVIR_LNC003040)". The record is from RNAcentral. Lineage: Eukaryota; Viridiplantae; Streptophyta; Magnoliopsida; Poales; Poaceae.